RNAcentral lists this transfer RNA (135 nucleotides) under Salmonella enterica subsp. enterica serovar Infantis. Its description in RNAcentral is "tRNA-OTHER". It matches the Rfam family "RtT RNA". From Rfam's summary of the family: This family represents a bacterial cis-regulatory element known as RtT RNA. The exact function of RtT is unknown although it is thought that it may be involved in changing the cellular response in relation to amino acid starvation. The record is from RNAcentral. Lineage: Bacteria; Pseudomonadati; Pseudomonadota; Gammaproteobacteria; Enterobacterales; Enterobacteriaceae.
GGGUCGUUAGCUCAGUUGGUAGAGCAGUUGACUUUAAUUGGUCGCAGGUUCGGGACUCACGCAGUGAGACAACGGAGCCGCUUGCGGCGACGGCCCGAAGGGCGAGCGAAGCGAGUCAUCCUGCACGACCCACCA